AAAAUGAGAGGAAAUUCCAACACAACUUGACAUGAGGCCAGCAGUAAGUCUGGAGGAAGCCAGUAGUGACAGCUUAUGGAGAAGCACAUGUAGGGAGAAACAGAGGUCUUGGCUAACAGACAACAACCAUGUGAGUGAGCUUAGAAGAAGAUUCUUUAAUACCAGUCAAGUCUUGAGAUGACAGCAGCAGCAGCUGACAGUUUGCCACUUCUUGAGUGCCUGAACCAGAACAAUUCAGGCCAGGAAUAGAAGACAAGACAAUGGGAAGAACAUAAUGAGCAAAGACAUGAAGUGAACUGAAGUGGUAUGCUGUGGUAUUCUGUCCAGAGACACAGCACAAAUAGAAAAAUGAAUGGUCAGCACUUUACUUGUUCUUCCAAGUCUACGGUGAGGUUACAAAUUAUAGUGAACUGAUCACCAUUUGAGUCAACUUGAGGACAAAAGAGAAACUAGUAAUAAAGAUCUUGGGAGACAACCUUGUGAUCUACAGGGAUUUGCUGGAUAAAUGCAUACCUUUCCUGCCUAAUGCCCAUGCUAUUCCUACUUCCUGGAAUGUUUUUACUUCAUCUCUUUG
Long non-coding RNA from Lontra canadensis (Northern American river otter), 574 nucleotides. RefSeq lists it as uncharacterized. The record is from RefSeq and is a predicted model, not a curated record. The transcript has 4 exons. NCBI's taxonomy places the organism in Eukaryota, Metazoa, Chordata, Mammalia, Carnivora, Mustelidae.